RNAcentral lists this ribosomal RNA (522 nucleotides) under uncultured bacterium. RNAcentral describes it as "bacterial SSU rRNA". It matches the Rfam family "Bacterial small subunit ribosomal RNA", at positions 25 to 518 of the family's 1533-position model. The record is from RNAcentral.
CAGGACGAACGCUGGCGGCGUGCCUAAUACAUGCAAGUCGAACGGUCUUUCUAUGGAAGCUUGCUUCCACUGAGAAGAUAGUGGCGAACGGGUGAGUAACACGUGGGUAACCUGCCCAUAAGAGGGGGGAUAACAUCCGGAAACGGGUGCUAAUACCGCAUAGUUUUCUUGAUUGCAUGAUUGAGAAAGGAAAGACGGCCUUUGUGCUGUCGCUUAUGGAUGGACCCGCGGCGUAUUAGUUAGUUGGUGAGGUAACGGCUCACCAAGACGAUGAUACGUAGCCGACCUGAGAGGGUGAUCGGCCACAUUGGGACUGAGACACGGCCCAAACUCCUACGGGAGGCAGCAGUAGGGAAUCUUCCGCAAUGGACGAAAGUCUGACGGAGCAACGCCGCGUGAGUGAGGAAAAGGUUUUCGGAUCGUAAAACUCUGUUGUCAGAGAAGAACAAGUUGGAGAGUAACUGCUCCAGCCUUGACGGUAUCUGACCAGAAAGCCACGGCUAACUACGUGCCAGCAGCCGC